This 69-nucleotide transfer RNA is filed under the name Murexia melanurus (Black-tailed dasyure). Its description in RNAcentral is "Murexechinus melanurus (Black-tailed dasyure) tRNA-Glu". It matches the Rfam family "tRNA". From Rfam's summary of the family: Transfer RNA (tRNA) molecules are approximately 80 nucleotides in length. Lineage: Eukaryota; Metazoa; Chordata; Mammalia; Dasyuromorphia; Dasyuridae. The record is from RNAcentral.
GUUUCUGUAGUUGAAGUACAACGAUGGUUUUUCAUGCCAUAGGUUAUGGUUAGAGUCCUUACUGAAACU